This is a long non-coding RNA of Solanum pennellii, 798 nucleotides long. RefSeq lists it as uncharacterized. Lineage: Eukaryota; Viridiplantae; Streptophyta; Magnoliopsida; Solanales; Solanaceae. The transcript is spliced from 3 exons. The record is from RefSeq and is a predicted model, not a curated record.
UAUUUAUUUGUUUAUAAAUUUUUAGGAUCUGAGUUGCUGUAUAUAAUGUCUAAACGAAAUACCACAAGGAUAAUCACAAGAGGAUAUACUGCUGUGAUGGAAUUACAUAAGAAGUCGAAAGAUGAAAUAGUAAGGUCUCCUUCUAAAAGAAAAGUAGGGUCAACGGUGAAAGCGAUUGAAAAAAAUUGUUACAAGAGGAGGAAAGUAAAAAAUGUAGUUUCCGACAUGAUUGUAGACAUGCAGUUAAUGAAGAACAAGACGAAGUCAAUGAAGAAUUAACGGGUAUCAGAUUCCAUGUAUUGGCUCGCCCAAUUAAACCCCCACGCAUGCAGGUUUAUGUGAACACAUAGUCACAGAUUUGAAGGGGAAGCUUACAGCGACCCAAUUCAAUCAAUUUAAAGAUACAUGUUUUGGAGCAUAUACAAAAAUGCACGUAUAUGGAGCGCAACCACAAAUGUUUAGGUGUUUCAUGGUAUGUGAAUUAGAGGACAGUUCCCCUGGUGAAUUGUUGUUUCAUAUAAAUCAUACCACGCUCCAUUUUGGUAUCAAAGAAUUUGCUAUCAUUACUGGGUUGAACUGCUUUGGUAAUAAAGAUGACUUUUUAGUUUGAUACAAGGAAGCCAAACAGAUUAAUCAAUCAGUAUUUUGAGGGUAAAAGUAUUGUUACAAAAGUGGAUUUGAUCAGUAAGUAUAAAAAAAAGGUUUGGGGUGGUGGCAAUGAUGAUGAUGCUGUUAAAUUCGCUAUUCUGUAUUUUAUUUGUACGUUCAUAUAUUCCGGCGAGAAGAAGAGCUCAUCAA